This 563-nucleotide ribosomal RNA is filed under the name uncultured bacterium. RNAcentral's name for it is "bacterial SSU rRNA". It matches the Rfam family "Bacterial small subunit ribosomal RNA", at positions 36 to 643 of the family's 1533-position model. The record is from RNAcentral.
CUGGCGGCAGGCUUAACACAUGCAAGUCGAGCGGGCGUAGCAAUACGUCAGCGGCAGACGGGUGAGUAACGCGUGGGAACAUACCUUUUGGUUCGGAACAACACAGGGAAACUUGUGCUAAUACCGGAUAAGCCCUUACGGGGAAAGAUUUAUCGCCGAAAGAUUGGCCCGCGUCUGAUUAGCUAGUUGGUAGGGUAAUGGCCUACCAAGGCGACGAUCAGUAGCUGGUCUGAGAGGAUGAUCAGCCACAUUGGGACUGAGACACGGCCCAAACUCCUACGGGAGGCAGCAGUGGGGAAUAUUGGACAAUGGGGGCAACCCUGAUCCAGCCAUGCCGCGUGAGUGAUGAAGGCCCUAGGGUUAUAAAGCUCUUUUGUGCGGGAAGAUAAUGACGGUACCGCAAGAAUAAGCCCCGGCUAACUUCGUGCCAGCAGCCGCGGUAAUACGAAGGGGGCUAGCGUUGCUCGGAAUCACUGGGCGUAAAGGGUGCGUAGGCGGGUCUUUAAGUCAGGGGUGAAAUCCUGGAGCUCAACUCCAGAACUGCCUUUGAUACUGAAGUCGUA